Molecule: non-coding RNA, 102 nt
Organism: Aspergillus coremiiformis
Lineage: Eukaryota; Fungi; Ascomycota; Eurotiomycetes; Eurotiales; Aspergillaceae
Source: the annotation of a GenBank genome assembly
GGGGCAGUAGCUCAGUGGGAGAGUGGAAGAUUGCAAUGACCGAACUGGUUAAUCAAAUUGCAAGCUAUCUUUAGGUCGCCGGUUCGAUCCCGGCCUGUCCCU